UACAGGGGGGGCAAGCGUUGUUCGGAAUUACUGGGCGUAAAGGGCUCGUAGGUGGCCAACUAAGUCAGACGUGAAAUCCCUCAGCUUAACUGGGGAACUGCGUCUGAUACUGGAUGGCUUGAGUUUGGGAGAGGGAUGCGGAAUUCCAGGUGUAGCGGUGAAAUGCGUAGAUAUCUGGAGGAACACCGGUGGCGAAGGCGGCUACCUGGACAGAAACUGACGCUGAGGCACGAAAGCUAGGGGAGCAAACAGG
This 253-nucleotide ribosomal RNA is filed under the name uncultured bacterium. Its description in RNAcentral is "partial 16S ribosomal RNA". It matches the Rfam family "Bacterial small subunit ribosomal RNA", at positions 524 to 776 of the family's 1533-position model. The record is from RNAcentral.